RNAcentral lists this non-coding RNA (101 nucleotides) under Stenotrophomonas indicatrix. The record is from RNAcentral. Lineage: Bacteria; Pseudomonadati; Pseudomonadota; Gammaproteobacteria; Lysobacterales; Lysobacteraceae.
CUCAAUGGCGGGCGGUGCGUGGGGAUCACUCGAUCCGCCGGGUGAUUUCUCACUCCGUUGUGUUUGCCCCGGCACGCCAACCCGCACCGUCCGCCACCUUC